RNAcentral lists this ribosomal RNA (663 nucleotides) under uncultured bacterium. Its description in RNAcentral is "bacterial SSU rRNA". It matches the Rfam family "Bacterial small subunit ribosomal RNA", at positions 142 to 806 of the family's 1533-position model. The record is from RNAcentral.
GACAACAGUUGGAAACGACUGCUAAUACCGCAUAAUGUCUACGGACCAAAGGGGGCUUCGGCUCUCGCCUUUAGAUUGGCCCAAGUGGGAUUAGCUAGUUGGUGAGGUAAUGGCUCACCAAGGCGACGAUCCCUAGCUGGUUUGAGAGGAUGAUCAGCCACACUGGGACUGAGACACGGCCCAGACUCCUACGGGAGGCAGCAGUGGGGAAUAUUGCACAAUGGGCGCAAGCCUGAUGCAGCCAUGCCGCGUGUGUGAAGAAGGCCUUCGGGUUGUAAAGCACUUUCAGUCAGGAGGAAAGGUUAGUAGUUAAUACCUGCUAGCUGUGACGUUACUGACAGAAGAAGCACCGGCUAACUCCGUGCCAGCAGCCGCGGUAAUACGGAGGGUGCGAGCGUUAAUCGGAAUUACUGGGCGUAAAGCGUACGCAGGCGGUUUGUUAAGCGAGAUGUGAAAGCCCCGGGCUCAACCUGGGAACUGCAUUUCGAACUGGCAAACUAGAGUGUGAUAGAGGGUGGUAGAAUUUCAGGUGUAGCGGUGAAAUGCGUAGAGAUCUGAAGGAAUACCGAUGGCGAAGGCAGCCACCUGGGUCAACACUGACGCUCAUGUACGAAAGCGUGGGGAGCAAACGGGAUUAGAUACCCCGGUAGUCCACGCCGUAAA